CCAGCCUUGCCAUCACGGGAAGCGGCUUGCCUCUGCCACCUGGUUUCCUUGGGGAACUUUAUCCCGCGUUUGCUCGUCCUUCUCCUUGCCCAGCCAGGCGACAGCCUGCCAAGAGCCUCACGGACCUAGAGCCACGCCGGGGCCGGCACAAAGCACAGCUCAGUUAUUCACCGAGCGGUGGCUGGGGGAAGGUUGACGAGGAGGGGUCGUGCCUAGAGGCAGGGAGAAGGAUGCGGGGGCAAUGGGGGCAGAGCGUAAACGGACCAAGGGCCCCGCACCUGAGCGAGGGAGGGUAGUCCCCGCUCUGCCUCCUCCUCCCCAGCGGGUCAGGUGCUGCCUACCGACCGGCGCCUGGCCCUCCAGCGCGCCGGGGCUCCCCGCCCCAGGGAAAGGGACCGGCCACUGAGCUGCUCUCAGCGGGGAGCGGCGGCGGAGGGGAAACGAGGCGGCUCAGCGAGCACGGAUUAUAUGUAAAUGUUGUGGACAGAGCGCCUUUCCCCGAUUCUACCAUCUGAAUGGGCAAAAUUUGCUAGUAACACAGAAGUAAGCUGCACUCCCCUGGUGUCUGAGAAGCUGCAUAAUAAAAUACAGAGACUUUGAUUCCACUGGAUUUUUGCUGCAGCUUGGGUACAAGAAGCGAUAAAACCUGAGAGAAAAUAAACAGAAAAUGCCUUAAAUUCAAACUGAAUUCCUUUAACAGCCCCGUUUCCCCACUGAUUGUCGCAAGACUAAAACUGGUCUAGACCUUCCUACCUGGAAUUGCUUAGUGUACAGUAACAAUUGUUCUUCCUAAUGGAUUUUAACACGUGAUGGAAAGAAUUUUUCUUCCCUUUUAUCUCGCCUCCUUUGAUGGGAAAAUUACCCCCCUACUGUGAGUUACAACAGGGCGGUUAACCAUUACAGAAAGCAAUUUCAGGGUGAGGGAAGUCAAAUAUGCUGCUGUUACUGGUUAACAGUUAAAUUUCUCUACUUGCUGCUGGUUUUCUUCUAUCUAAUAAAGGGGAGAACCAACCAUUUACCAUCCUCAAAUUAAUACUGUUUAACAUUGAUCUGUUGCAACCUGAAAUGAAAAAAUACAUUAAAAAUAUGCUUAUGUUUAAAAACCAAAAA
Strigops habroptila (Kakapo) is the source of this 1110-nucleotide long non-coding RNA. RefSeq lists it as uncharacterized. NCBI's taxonomy places the organism in Eukaryota, Metazoa, Chordata, Aves, Psittaciformes, Psittacidae. The record is from RefSeq and is a predicted model, not a curated record. The transcript is spliced from 3 exons.